This 253-nucleotide ribosomal RNA is filed under the name uncultured bacterium. RNAcentral's name for it is "partial 16S ribosomal RNA". It matches the Rfam family "Bacterial small subunit ribosomal RNA", at positions 524 to 776 of the family's 1533-position model. The record is from RNAcentral.
UACGGGGGGGGCAAGCGUUGUUCGGAAUUACUGGGCGUAAAGGGCUCGUAGGCGGCCUACUAAGUCGGACGUGAAAUCCCCAGGCUCAACCUGGGAACUGCGUCUGAUACUGGAUGGCUUGAAUCCGGGAGAGGGAUGCAGAAUUCCAGGUGUAGCGGUGAAAUGCGUAGAUAUCUGGAGGAAUACCGGUGGCGAAGGCGGCAUCCUGGACCGGCAUUGACGCUGAGGAGCGAAAGCCAGGGGAGCAAACGGG